CUUUGCAACUCGUGAUUGGUGGGACUGACGUAACGUAACCUUGAAUAUACAGUGUAAAUCAGCGGUCGCCAACCGGUACCGACCCGUGCGUCGUUUGGUACCGCACCACGAGAGUUGAGGCUCAGCAUAAAAUUGAUGGUUUUCAGGGUUUCUUUUUACUUUUAUCGUUAACUCUGUUUCCCUGGGUCUUUUCUUGUGUUGUAGGUGUGUCUUAAUUUUAAAGAAAUAUUUACGCGUUACCAUAGCGACCAGAGAGCAUUAAGGGGCAGAGAGGAGGACGUUAUUCUCAAUGUUGUUGGAGGACACUGCUAAUAAAGUUAUACACAGUAAAUUCGCGUUUAUUGUCAUAUUUACAAAAUACCACAGGUUUUGUCUUGGUCGCAUCAUUUUAUUUCAUCAUUUUUAUUUUAUUUAUUUGCCAAGGAGUUGCCAUUUGGUGUGUAGACUAAUGAACAAUGCACCUCGUAGGACAAAACAUAGUAUGCUGUCCUUUUGGUAUAGUGUGUACAGUUAUCAGUAAAUAAUAAUAAUAAUAAAAAAUAAUAAUAUAAUUUAAAUUGCCCAAAUUAAAAGGUUAAAUCCAACCUAUACUGCACAUGUUCUCUUUAAAUGGCUCAACUUAAAUACUUGCCGAAUAUGUCAGGUGAACAAGUGCUUAAUAUUUAUUCAUCAAAUUUGGCACAAAUAGGAUAUUUACAAACAUAUUUGCAAAUGCAAACAUUUUCUAUAUGCUUUUCAAGGUUCCUUUGUUUUGCUUUCUUAAUUGUCUUCAGAGGUUCCUUGUUCCAAACCUGUUUCCCAUUUCCUGCUUAGCCCAAGUGUGUCAGUUUGUAUUAAUUGUCUGUGGUCCUGCCCUCUUCUUGUGUUCUCCCUGCUUUUCAAGAUAUUUAGUUCCCUUUCAUCACGGAUAUUUAUUUCAUUUAGCUUAUAAAAUCGAGGAUUUUGUAUUUUAGACCCAAUGCCUGAAAUACAUGUAGUUUUAGGUUAUUCCUUCUGGUUUGUGAGCCCUGUAUUAUUUUCCUCCUCUCACAAUAUGAUAGUUUGGCUGGCAGUAAUAGGUAUGUGUGUUUUAAAGGACAGGGAAACAAAGCUUACAAACUGUAGCUUGUUUCUGAAAGAUAAUAAUAGUUAACUUUCAGGAACAGUUUAACUUUUGCAGGACAUUUGUUGUUUGAACAGUUUGUUACUGAUGUUAUUCACAUUGUAAUUUCAGUGUCUAUGAGAUUUCUCACUGAAAUGAUAUUUACUAUUAAUUUCAAUUCAAGUUAUUUUUUCUUUGUGCGCAACGCAGAUUUUCUGUGCGCAGAGACCAUGCCAGCAGUGCGCAGUUUGACCCAUUUAGCAGAAGCCAGCCUGUUUAAGGCUCUGAUAUCUAUUCUGUAUGACUUAAAUCAGUUAUGACAUGGUAGGAUUUUCUCACCCAAUACAGGAAUACUUAAUAUAUCAGUCUACUCUUUAUUCUAUCAGAAAUAGUUAUCAGAGCUCGUACACUUUCUUUUUACACAUAUACGUAAGCAUUGAGCCAAAUUUAGUAAUGCCAACAUAUUAAAAGAACAAUAUUUGUCUCUUAUGUCUCAGCUAUCUUUUACGGUGUGGUCUGCUGGGGCGGCAACAUCUCUGCCGGGGACAGGAAGAGACUGAACAGGCUGAUUCGAAGGGCCAGCCCUGUUGUAGGAUGCCCUCUGGACCCAGUGGAGGUGGAUCUCAAACUCAAGGAAAGGAACAAACAUCAAAUUCUCUGUCAAACCGACCCGACCUUUCUGCUGAAGAUAAUCACCAGUGAUGAAGUCUGAACCUCCAGUGUGAAACCAGAGACAAAACCACAGAUGUCACACUUAAAAUGGGCACAGGACAAGUAAAGAAGCCAUCCACAGCAUGGACGCCUACAUGGUCUUUGAGCAGGUCCAGUCUUUCAAAAGUUUCUGGGCAUAGGAGACAAGAAUAGGAGCGAUUCUCUGUGUGCACUAGGAGAUGAUCAUCCAG
Molecule: long non-coding RNA, 1983 nt
Organism: Oreochromis aureus
Lineage: Eukaryota; Metazoa; Chordata; Actinopteri; Cichliformes; Cichlidae
Exons: 3
Source: RefSeq, a predicted model, not a curated record